RNAcentral lists this ribosomal RNA (496 nucleotides) under uncultured bacterium. RNAcentral's name for it is "partial 16S ribosomal RNA". It matches the Rfam family "Bacterial small subunit ribosomal RNA", at positions 28 to 506 of the family's 1533-position model. The record is from RNAcentral.
GAUGAACGCUGGCGGCGUGCCUAAUACAUGCAAGUCGAGCGAACAGAUGAGGAGCUUGCUCCUCUGACGUUAGCGGCGGACGGGUGAGUAACACGUGGAUAACCUACCUAUAAGACUGGGAUAACUUCGGGAAACCGGAGCUAAUACCGGAUAAUAUAUUGAAGCGCAUGGUUCAAUAGUGAAAGACGGUUUUGCUGUCACUUAUAGAUGGAUCCGCGCCGCAUUAGCUAGUUGGUAAGGUAACGGCUUACCAAGGCAACGAUGCGUAGCCGACCUGAGAGGGUGAUCGGCCACACUGGAGCUGAGACACGGUCCAGACACCUACGGGAGGCAGCAGUAGGGAAUCUUCCGCAAUGUGCGAAAGCCUGACGGAGCAACGCCGCGUGAGUGAUGAAGGUCUUCGGAUCGUAAAACUCUGUUAUUAGGGAAGAACAAAUGUGUAAGUAACUAUGCACGUCUUGACGGUACCUAAUCAGAAAACCACGGCUAACUACGU